ACUCAAAUGAAUAGACGGGGACUUGCACAAGCAGUGGAUCAUGUGGUUUAAUUCGAUGAUAAACGAAGAACCUUACCAGGGUUUAAUCUAGCUGAAGCCAAGAAGAAACUUUUGGCGUCGCAAGACAGUUAGUCAGGUGAUGCAUGGCCGUCGUCAGUUCGUGGCUUGAGUUGUUCCCUUCAGUGGGGUAACGAACGCAACCCUCGUUGUCUGUUAUAUAUGUCAGGCGAGACUGCCCACGACACAGUGCGGGAUUUUCCAAAAGAAAAUCAUUUGCUGCGUCGUGGGAGGAAGGUGAGGAUGACGCCAGGUCAGCAUGUCCCUUAUACCCUGGGCUACACACGUGAUACAAUGGAUAUUACAACAGGACGCUAAGUCGAAAGAUGGAGCAAACCCUUAUAAAAGUAUCCUCAGUUCGGAUUGAGGUCUGCAACUCGACCUCAUGAAGCUGGAAUUGCUAGUAAUCGCAGGUCAGCUAUACUGCGGUGAAUACGUUCUCAAGUCUUGUACACACCGCCCGU
Molecule: ribosomal RNA, 521 nt
Filed under: uncultured bacterium
Lineage: Bacteria
Description: partial 16S ribosomal RNA
Rfam family: Bacterial small subunit ribosomal RNA
Source: RNAcentral